CCAUGACUAAAUGCAAAGCCUGCACAUGCAGGCAUCCAUACAGCACCUUCCUGCUCAUAGGCGCUCUACCCGGAACGUUUACACAACAGCGCCCUGAGGAGGCGACAGACCAGAAGGUGAAACAAGCAUGAACUCCGCUUUCAGCUACACUAACAUCAACUCUGACGUCUGGGGCACAAACCGUCGAGGAAACAAAGGGGAAACCCUGAGUCAGGGCUGGCACCACACUCCUGCACACUGGCCCCAGGGAUGCACCUCCAGGGCGGGGGCGGAGCUGACCCGCCGAGUCCCGCCCCCGCCCACGCCCUCUAACUGUCCCUUCGCUGCGCCUUUCCAGUCAGGAAGCCGUACGAGGAGAGCGUCACGUCGGACGCCAGCUGGCUGCCUUCCUCAGCGGCCCACGCUGCGCCAUGCUGCCCCUCCGAAGCGUCCUGGCCCGGGCUCUGACCUCGCGAACGCCCGCGCUUCAGGUAUCGGCCUCCGGGUGGGCGCGCCCUUUGCCAGGCGCAGGGCUGGGAGGGCGUGAGCCCUGCGCAUGCGUGCCGCGCGGUCAGCUCUGUCGGCUGAGGGUCCGCGCCCGUGGAGGAGGGGUCCUUGCGGGGCAGGGUCGUUUACCCACCGGAGCGAGGCUUUCUCUGGCUUGGGAGCCUGACCGCUCCGAGGUCGCUCCCGAAGCGCUAGCGGUUGCGGCUUUGCCGCCAGCACUUUGGCAGCUGUGGCUCCGGGAGCGCUCGCCGCUUCGUGGCGGGGCCCAGGCGCCAUUGGCCUCGCGUAGGUGUGGGUUUGAAGAGCCUUCGCUCCGUCCACACUGAAGGUGCUGGAAGAGGACCACCAACAAGGAGUGGCGACCCGACCGGCCUUUUCCUUUGUAACGAAGUGCACAGCUUGCGAGCAUUUUGCCGAGAACCUUGGUGUAGGCCAGGGUCCCAGUGUGGGGCAUCGUGCCCGCCCUCCCCGUGUCCUGCGGUGAUCCCCAAGCCCAGCAGGGACCUGAGCCUGAAGACCCUCAAACGUGACCUGCUUCAGCCUUAGAUGAGAAAGAUCCAAAAUGGAGCCAGGGAUCAAGCCUGAACUGUGGGCACCUGCUUGUUCCGAUUCAUCCUAGGGAGUCUCUCCUUUCCAUCUUGAGGCUUUUACUCCUUUCUCAGCCAGCAAGAUGCUGGCUGUGGGCUUAGCCGCUUCUGGAGACAGACUUUCAGGAGAAGAGUAAGGAAGAGCCAUUAAUGGCCUUUCACCCCGUGUCUUCUUUGAUAAUGAGAGCAACUAAGAACAAAGCAGGGAGGAAGAGCAGGAAGAAAAGAUUAACAUUAAACAGAUACAUGAGGUGGGAGGGAAAGGGAGAGAAAAGGGAAAUUGCAUGGUAAUGGAGGGAGAUCCUCAUUGUUAUACAAAAUUACAUAUAAGAGGUUGUGAGGGGAAUGGGAAAAUAAACAAGGAGAGAAAUGAAUUACAGUAGAUGGGGUAGAGAGAGAAGAUGGGAGGGGAGGGGAGGGGAAAUAGUAGAGGAUAGGAAAGGUAGCAGAAUACAACAGUUACUAAUAGGGCAUUAUGUAAAAAUGUAGAUGUGUAACCAAUGUGAUUCUGCAAUCUGUAUUUGGGGUAAAAUUGGGAGUUCAAAACCCACCUGAAUCAAAUGUAUGAAAUAUGAUAUGUAAAGAGCUUUGUAAUGUUUUGAACAACCAAUAAAAAAAAUAUAAAAUUAAAUUAAAAAAAACAAUGCAGUCUAUUCUGCUCUCUCUAGUGGGGCAGGGCCAAGAAUUAUUUCUUUGCGACUUUUCUUUUUUACAUUUCUAGCAGCAUUCUCGUAUAAGUGAAUUCUUAGUAAUUGCUCACAAGAAUUAAUCCUAACUUGGUGAUAAGGGAAGGUCAAAUGGUGAAGAUUUCUGCCCCAGCAUAUUUCUAACUAGCUUUGCAACAAAAACCUACAAAAUCUCUUCACUUCCUCACACAUACACCCGUCUUUAUCACUACGGUGUCCCUUCUGUGUAUCGUCUCAUUGAAAAAUAAUACAAAUGCCCAUUAGUCUACAGCUGAUAUAUCUUACUUGUAAUUUUUAGAUUGUACAUAUUAGGUUAUUGUUUAUUCUACUAACAUUAUUAUAAUCUGGUUAAAAUGCACAAAAAAAGAAUAUCUACCUGUGGCAGAGACUGCUGCGGUUGUUUUUGAUAGAAAGCUUUGUCCUUUGGGCAAUAGGAAAAUAACUUAAGAGUUAUGACAGUCAUGAGUGGAAUAAACUCAAUUGAAAUGAUUAUAUUAAGUCUAUACUCAACAAUAUAAGAAUAUAUAAGAACAAAGCCUCCUGUUUCUCUAAACAUGCAAGGUGGUCAGUGUAAGCACUAAUUUGUCCAUAGUUUUGUAGGGACCAAGUCUUCUUUAACAGAUUUUUCUGGUAUAAUUACUUUGGAAAUAGGCACCUACACCUACUAAUCACACUUCAUGAGUUUGUAAAGUGGAAUGCUAUAUAAGUAUCUGUAUGUGUGCAUUUUUAAUAUACACAUAUACGUACACAGAUGAUAAUUCUGGCAAGUUAUGAUAAUUCUGCCUAGUAAAAAUUAAGUUCACUCAGAAAUAGAUUUAGAAAUUUAUAUAGUGAGCAUAUAAACAUUUUAACAAGUUAAUGGUUCUUAAAAAAAUAAUUCCCAUCAAACCAAUAUAACUGGAUGCAUUAAAUGCACUUUACAUUGCAUCUGUCUUAAGAACCUAAUGAUGAUUCUGAAAAUCCUGACUCCUUGAAUUUAAUCUUUUUCAGCAUUCAUAAAGUCUAUCACUAUAUUACAAUGGAGUUAGCACAUAGUUUCCUAAUGCUUAAAAUUCCAGUCUUAUUUUUGGCCACUGGUUUACUUCAUUUAAUGUAGGAAAUACUUUGACUUGAAGAGAAAUUUCCAUUUUUUAAGAAAAUAAAAGUGGAAUUUUCUAUUAGUACUAUAUUUUAAAAUAAUUUUGCCUGCCAAAAGCAUGCAUACUGAAUUUAUAAAGUUCUUUCAGAUGCAUAACUCUACACAUAUGCUAUCAACUAAAAAUCAAAUAUUGGCUGAAUAAAGGAAAGCUCUUUCUAAAUUUAUGGGAAUUCUAAUUAUAGUUCUCCAGUACAGGAAUAUCAUCAAGACACCAAUGCCUUCAUAUGAGCAACUUCUCAUGAAACAAAUGACUAAAGGUUGUAAACCCUUUCCAGUAAAAGAGCAGAUAUAUAUUCUGUGUGAUUUUUAUCUUUUUUAAAUUUAUUUUUUCUAACUCGUUAUACAUGACAACAAAAUGCAUUUUGAUUCUUAGUACACAAAUGGUGCACAAUUGCACAAUUUUUCAUUUCUCUGGUUGUACACAAAAUAGAAUCACACCAUUUGUGUAUUCAUACAUGUACCUAGGGUAAUGAUGUCCAUCUCAUUCUACCAUCUUUCCUACCCUUAUGCCUCCUCCCUUCCCUACCACUCCUUUGCCUUAUUCAAAGUUCUUCCAUUCCUCCCAUCCUGCCGCCUCCCCCCCCCACACACACACACACCACGCAUUAUGGAUCAGCAUCCACUUAUCAGAGAAAACAUUGGUUUUGUGGGCUUGGCUUCACUUAGCAUGAUAUUCUUCAACUCCAUCCAUUUACCUGCAAAUGCCAUGGUUUUAUUCUCUCUUAACACUGAGUAGUAUUCCAUUGUGUAUAUAUACCAACUUUCUUAAUCCAUUUAUCUAUUGAAGGGCAUCUAGGUUGGUUCCACAAUUUAGUUAUUGUGAAUUGUGCUGUUAUAAACAUUGAUGUGGCUACGUCACUGUAGUAUGUUGAUUUUCAGUCCUUUGGGUAUAAACCCAGGAGUGGGAUAGCUGGGUCAAAUGAUGGUUCCAUUCUAAGUUUUCUAAGGAAUCUCCAUACUGCUUCCCAGAUUGGUUGCAAUACUUUGCAGUCUCACCAGCAAUGUACGAGUGUGCUUUUUCCCCCACAUCCUUACCAACACUUAUUGUUACCUGUAUUCUUAAUAACUGGCUUUCUGACUGGAGUGAGAUGAAAUCUUAGUUUUGAUUUGCAUUUCACUAAUUGCUAGAGAUGUUGAAUAUUUUUCAUAUGUUUGUUAACUGACAGUAUAUCUUCUGAGAAAUGUCUGUUCAGUUUCUUAGCCCAUUUAUUGAUUGGGUUAUUUAUGUUUUUGGUGCUAAGUUUUUUGAGUUCUUUAUAUACCUGGAGAUUAGUGCUCUCUCUGAUGUGUGUGUGGUAAAAAUUUCCUCCUAUUCUGUAGGCUCUCUCUUUACCUCACUGAUUGUUUCUUUUGCUGACAAGAAGCUUUUUAGUUUGAAUCCAUCCCAUUUAUUGAUUCUUGAUUUUAUUUCUUGCACUUUAGGAGUCUUAUUCAGGAACUCAUGGCCUAAUCCAACAUGAUGAAGAUUUGGGCCUACUUUUUCUUCUUUGGGGCAUAGGGUUUCUGGUCUAAUUCCUAGGUCCUUUGUCCACUUUGAGUUGAAUUUUGUGCAUGGUGAGAAAUAGGGGCUUAAUUUCAUUUUGAUGCAUAUGAAUUUCCAGUUUUCCCAGCACCAUUUGUUGAAGAGGCUAUCUUUUCUCCAGUAUAUGUUUUUGGUGCCUUUGUCUAGUAUGAGAUAACUGUUUUUAUGUGGGUUUGUCUCUGUGUCCUCUAUCUGUACCAUUUGGUAUACCAAUCUAUUUUGGUGCCAAUACAAUGAUGUUUUUGUUACUAUUGCUCUGUAGUAUAGUUUAAGGUCUGGUAUUGUGAUGCCACCUGCUUCACUCACUAAGUAUUGCUUUGGCUAUUCUGGUCUCUUAUUUUUCCAGAUGAAUUACAUGAUAGCUUUUUCUAUGAGGAAUGUCAUUGGAAUUUUGAUUGAAAUUGCAUUAAAUCUGCAUAGUGUUUUUGGUACUAUGGUCAUUUUACAAUAUUAAUUCUGCCUAUCCAAGAACAAGGUAGAUCUUUCCAUCUUGUAAGGUUUUCUUUAAUUUCUUUCUGUAGCGUUCUAUAGUUUUCAUUAUAGAGUUCUUUCACCUCUUUCAUUAAGUUGAUUUCCAAGUUUUUUUUUUUUUGAGGCUAUUGUAAAUGGAGUAGUUUUCCUAAUUUCUCUUUAAAAAAAAUAGUGUACCACAAUUAAGUGAGGUUCAUCUGAGAGAUGCAAGGUUGGUUCGACAUAGAGAAAUCAUUAAAUGUAAUUCAUCAUCCCAUCAAUAGACUUAAGAUAAGAAUCAUAUCAUCAUAACAGAUGCAGAAAAAGCAUUUGACAAAAUACAGCACCCCUUCAUUUCAAAACACUAGAAAAACUAGGGAAAAUGGAAACAUCUCAACAUUGUAAAAGUUAUCUAUGCUAAGGCCAAGGCCAACAUCAUUCUAAAUGGAGAAAAAUUGAAAGCAUUCCCUCUAAAAACUGGAACACAACAGGAUUGCCGUCUUUCACCACUUACAUUUAACAUAGUUUUUGAAACUCUAGCCAGAGCAAUUAGAAAGACAAAAGAAAUUAAAGGGAUACAAAUAGGAAAAGAAGAACUCAAACUAUCACUUUUGGCUGACGACAUGGUUCUAUACUUAGAGGAUCUGAAAAAUUCCACCAGAAACCUUCUAGAACUAAUAAAUCAAUUCAGUAAAGUAGGAUAUAAAAUCAACACCCAUAAAUCAAAUGCAUUUCUGUACAUCAGUAUUGAAUCCUCUGAAAGAGAAAUUAGGAAAACUACUCUUUUUACAAUAGCCUCAAAAAAUGAUUUUUAUCUUUAAUCUCUGCAUAACAAAAAGUCUAUAGAGAAUUGACAAGUACAAACAUAGAUUUGGUUAUAACAUAAUAAAUUCUCUCUCUCUAAAAUCUUUAAAUUUGUCUUAUCUUUCUUCAGGUAUGCUCAUCUUUUGCUACAGGCCCCAGACAAAAUGAUGGAACAUUCUAUGAGUUUCAUACCUAUUCACUUAAACCCUCGAAGAUGAAUGAGUUCCUGGAAAACAUCAAGAAAAACAUGCAUCUUCGGACAGCUCACUCUGAAUUGGUUGGAUGUUGGAGUGUAGAAUUUGGAGGCAGAAUGAAUAAAGUGUUUCACAUUUGGAAGUAUGGUAGGAGUCAUUCCACUUAAGUGUUUGUUAUAGAUUUUCAUUCUGUUCCAUGUUUCAUGAAAUUUAGUUCUUAAAUCUAUAUUUAUAAACUAUAUUUAUAAAUCUAUAUAUUUAUAGAUACGUACAGGUUAAGUAAAAUCUUAAUUUAAAAAGGAAUACAGUACCAAAAAAGUAAAUUCAGUGAUUACUCUCACCAAUGGUCUACUUCUAACAAUUCCUUGCUCAAAGUCUUAUAUUACCAUAACUUGGAAAACAUUAAUUCUCAUAUAUGAAAUGAUAAAAUUAUAAACUAGCUUUAACACUCAGAAAAUUUAGAAUGGUUUAUUACAAAGAUGGUUGAUAAAAAUUUUAAGGUGGUGUUUGAAAAAGCCCAAACGUGUUAAGAUCACAAAAGGAAAGAGGAAGUCUAAUAAUUUAAAAAUUUAGGGCCAUUAAGUAAAUUGAGAUUUAGAGAGGAUCACAGAUUUUAAACUUCAUUCAACCAUGAGAUUUAAUAUUUCCGUUAUGUUUAGAAACCAAUUUUUUGUUUCAUUUCUUACACCCCAGAGUUUCAAGGAAUUUACUUUCAUACUACUCAAAAGGAAAAGGAAUCAGUUCUUCCCAUGUCACACUGACCUACCCCUGAGGAAGGAAAAGAAGUUUCAAGAGUCACCAGAAUGUUUGUUUCUCCACAAUCUAGUCUGUUAGGGUCAUAUCAGGACUUGUGGAUAUCCAAAGACCUGGUAAUAAUUUUAUUUACAAUUUGAUCAUCAGUGUCCAGAUUAAUAUUCAUAAAUGUUUUAUUAUGAAAAAUAUUCAUUCUACACCUAACUAUGGGCACAGUGUAGGGUUUUUACCUAGUGUAGUAAAACAAGCCCCAUUAAAACACAACUUGUGCUUUAGAUGUGCUACAAGUUAAAUCAUGGCCCACUAAGAAAACUAAUGAAGUCCUGAUAUACCUCACUUAAGCUGUGAGAUAGGUGUUAUUCAUUAUCACCAUCAUAAACCAUAUAAAACUUUUCUCAUUAGUCUUAUAAGGUCUUCAUAGUAAAUACAAUGCUAGGCCCAUAUAUGGGUAAAUGUCGAUACCUGUUGGAAUAACUCAGAAAAAAAAUAAGUGCUGGGGGGAAAAUGGCUGGUAAUAAGUAAGAGAAUCAACACUAUUUUUUGAAGGCUCUUUGUUCAAAGGAGAAGAGACUCACCAAAUACAUUUUAAUUUCAUUUAUUGUAAUUUGAUUCAAGGUUUAUCUUGACCUGGGCACCUGCCACCACCAAAGAAAGAUCUUUCUCUGAACUAGCACUAUCAGUUAAAUGCCUCAACUGAAUUAAUUAGUCCACAAAUGUUGAUACUAACUGGGUGCUAAACAUUGUUCUAGGCUCUUUUUGUGUGUUAAUUCAGUUAACCUUCACAACAAUGUUAUAUUCUCUCCAUUAUACAGACUGAAAAACAGAAUGCAGAAAGAUACAGUAACUUACCUAAUUCACACAAGUUUCUGCAAAGUCAUAGAACCCAUGAAGCCAAUUCUGUGACAUUUUGUAUUUCUAUUCCCCUUAAGCCCAAGAACAACUUGAGGACAGAUGUCACAUCUUUUCGUGAUGAUAUCUCCAAAGGCAUAACAAUGUUCCUCUAUGCUGCAGGUGAAUGUUGUUUGGAUGAAAUCCAGAGAAGCAUAGGUGAUUUUAAGUUGUAAAUGUUUCUUUUUCUUAAUUCUUUUCUCCCAUAGAGAAUUUUGCUCAUCGAACUGCAGUUCAGAAAGCCUUGGCUAAAGAUAAGGAAUGGCAAGAACAAUUCCUCAUUCCAAAUUUGGCUCUCAUUGAUAAGCAAGAGAGUGAGAUUACUUACCUGGUGCCAUGGUGCAAAUUAGAAAAGCCUCCAAAAGAGGGUAAGUCACUUUCCUUCUUCACCACUUAGAAUUUAGAUGAAUGAAAUACUAAAGAUCUUAAGUGAUAAAAGGUGAAGUUCCACUGGCAAACAAGGAAAUUAAUCCUUUGUUUUAUGGGAACAUACUGUGGUUGUUAAGAUAAAACGAAGUUGAAUCUUCCAGCUUAUGCUUAAAAUGAGAAUUAAAUAAUGAGGAAUUUUUCCAAAUUGAAAUUUUACACAUUGCUAAGUUUAGCUGUUACAGAAAAAGUCUACAUAGUCAGUUAAAGAUGAGAAAUUGCACAUUAGAAAUAGGGACCACAUGUGGGAAAAUAAAGAAUAAUUUUAAGGUAACAUAAAUAUUUAAAUAAGAAUAUUUUCCACAAAAUAUAAUUAAUCUUAAGUCAUUAGUACACCUUUGCUUAUAAAAUUAACUAUUUGAGGGGGGUGAAUUUACUGAAUCUACCAAGCUAUAUCACUAUAGUUUUUGUGUCUAACUUUUGUGUCUUCCUCUUUCUUCUCAGUUUGAAAAUAAUUCCUUAAGAUAUAUCUUCUUGCUGAUUUCACUUCUUGAUGAUUUAAAGAAACUAUUGCUUCAAUCCAGUAUUAAACCAAGGUCAGAAUAGAAAAAUCAAUUUAGAUUUAUUUUAUUUCCAACUCUGUUUUUAGACUACACUACAAAGAAACUUGACAAGAAUUAUUUAGAUCCUAGUUAGAUCUCUUUCUCUGUCAGCACUAUCUAGAUAAAAUAGUUGACUUCUCAGUGUCUAACGUUGAUCCUCUUCCUCUUUUUUAUUAACCUGAGUAAUCUUUGCAUGUUUUCCUGUACCUUUCAAAUCUACUUGUCUCUAGUUUCUUUCUACCAGUCCUUUAUUUCUGUCCAGAAGAUAAGAUACAUUUCAACUACAUACUUGGAUAUUUAGGGACAAUAAAAUCUCAUUAGGUUUGUUUGGGUUUUUUUCCUCCAAAACUUAGAGACAUUUCUUUAUUUUCAUUGUUUUCUAUGUUCUUCCUGUUAGAAAAAGAAACUUAAGGAGAGAGAAAUAUAAAUGGAAAAAAGUACAAAUUGGAAAGAAGAAUGAAAAUAUAGGAGACAUUGGAAAAUUAUUUUAUUCUUUUCUGAAAGUAUAGACUUGGCUCAAAAAUCCAAUUUCAUUAUAAAUUCUUAAUAUCUGUUUUAUUAAUAGAUUUUUAUAUUAAAAUAUUUCAGAUCAUAGUUUAUAUAUUUAUAACUCCAGACUUUUUAUCAUCUGCAUGAUAACCAAAGCAAAGAAAAAUAAUGCAAAUACAAUAAAUAUGUCUAUGUAACCAUAUAUGAUCCUCUAAAUCUGUAUUUGUAGAUUAGUUUUCCAUGGAAACAAGACAGACAUGAUUAGAAAAUGCUGGAAUGUCUUCUGUAAAAUAGUCCUUUUUCUUUCUAUUUUAGGAGUCUAUGAAUUGGCUUCUUUUCAGAUGAAACCUGGUGGCCCAGCUCUGUGGGGUGAUGCAUUUAAAAGGGCAGUUCAUGCCCAUGUAAAUCUAGGCUAUACAAAAUUAGUUGGUGUUUUCCAUGCAGAAUAUGGAGCACUCAACACAGGUAUAGUUAUCUGUUUCAUCUAUAAAAUUUCAGUGGUGAUCUACUAAUAAGUUCCUUGGAUACGUUUCUCUCUCUCAUACUGUACAUUUUAUUUUUUAUUGCCAAAUUUUUGUAUUUUUGUCAAUUUUAAGGGUUGAAAAAAACCUGUGUCACAUCUUUUUAUUUAGAAUGUUAACAUCUUUAUGAAGCCUUUUCAAACACAAAACUGCUAUUUUCCUGAUUAUCAAAAUGAUUAAAUUUUAAUAGGUGCCAGAAUCUCAAGAAAUAACCUAUUCCUUUUAAAUAUUUUUUCUUCUGAAUUUUUUUAUUGAUUUUUGAAACAACAUUUCUGGGGAGAUUGUUUCUGAGUAAAAACAUAAUUUAUUUAUUCAUUCAUGUAUUAAUUAAUUUAUUUAUACUAAAGUCGCCCCAUAAAAAUUCACCCAUUUUUAUUUGAGGCAUGUAUUUAUAUACAUGUAUGUACAUAUCCAUUGGUAAAUUUGUAAAUAUAAAUUUCUUUAAUAAAAUACGUAUUUGGAGUAUUUAACUUUUAAAUGUAUUUUUUUGUGUGCAUAGCCCUGGUGAUUGAACUCAGGACGAUGCACAUGCUAGGCAAUGCUCUACCACUGGACUAUAUCCCCAGCCCAGAGUAUUUUAACUUUUAAAUUUGAAAGAUAUUACCAUCAGAAUUUCAAGAUUUUUUUUGACAAAUUCUGAAAAUACUUGUAAAGCUUAUCUGAAAGGACAGAUGACAAAGAAUAGCUAGUAAAUAUUUGAAAGACUGAUAAUACGCAGUUACCUUUUAUCUUCUCUAUUUUAUGUACAAUGGAAAUCUGAAACCUAAUAUAGUCAGUGCUGAGCUUCCAACUCAACACAGAAAAUUCAUCUCUUUUCUGAAAUGCAUGGACCAGAAGUAUGUCAGAUUUUUGAUUUUUGGAUUAGGGAUAUUCAGCCUGUUUAUCAUAAGAAAAUGGUCAUAAUAUACAAAAACAGAUGUAUAUUUACGUUGGAAAAUAAUGGAGGAGAAAAAUUAUUAUAAAAAUUAUCUCAUACUAUAUGCUAAAAUAAAACCAAGACUUUAAUAGAUUUCAAUGAGAAAAUUUAAUUCAUAGAGUUGCUAAAACUUUAUGUAGAUGAACUUACUUAAAAAUAUGAAUGGGGACUAUAUUCCUAAGCUAAAAAUAGAAACAAAAAUGAAGAAAAAAUUUGAUGACUUUAUUAUAAAAAGGCUCAAACUCUCUAUAUGUGGAACAAAUCAUCAUAAGUUAAAUUCAAAAGCAAAAAGGAAAUGAAAAUUUAUGUAAAGGUAGUAACACAUAUGACUGUCAAAUAUAAAAGAAGAGGCAGAUUAAAAAUAGUAAGCAGAUAUCACUUUUUACUUAAUGUAGACUUGCUUACAUGGGUAUAAUGUUAGAUCAGGAGUAAAUAAGUACUCAUAUAAUAUAUACGGUUCACAUUAAUCUUUCCUUCCCAAAUUGGGCCAUAUAAAUAAAAAAUUAUUUUCAUUGUCUUUGGCAGUAUUCUAGAAAAUAUGCAGGAGUGCAUAUAUUUAUAAGGGCUUUCAGUUAUAUACGAAAGAAAUUUGAAAGUAUGUAAAGUAGUCAUAUUUGAGUGAUGAGAUUAAAGAUUACUGAAAGUCUGUCUUUUAAUCUCUGAUAUUGUGUAUGUAUGAUUUUUAUAACUUUUUUAUUCUUAAAUUCAUUUUCAGUAUCCUAAGAAAAUGUGGCAUGAUGAGUAUAAAUCAGUACAGCUUCUUUUUAUAUUUAUCUUCCAUUUUAGGAAGAUAGUGUAUAAUACAUACAAUAUAUAGACAGUAUAAUAUAUACACUAUUUGAAAAUUUAAAAUAUAUAUGUAUAUAAGAUAUACUCCUUGGAUCUCUCACUUUACAUUUUAGGAGAUUUUGUUAAGGAAAUAAACAGAUACAAACAGCCUGGAUUUAAUCCCAGCACCAUUGCUUAGUAAUUUUAUGACCUUGGGUAAGUUAACCUCACUGGGCCUUAGUUUCCUCAUCUAUACAAUGAUGAUAGUAAUAACCUACCAUCUAGAUUAUUAUGAGGACUAAAUGAGUUAACACAUGAAAAAUGUUUAAAAUCAAGCAAGGUAUUACACAUGUGAAAUCCUAGCUAUCAGGAGACUGAGGCAGGAGGAUUACAACUUCAAGGCCAGUCUGGGCAACUUAGCAAGAUUCUAUCUAAAAAUAAAAAUAAAAAGCACUACAAAUAUAAUUCAGUGGUAGAACACAUGCUUAGCAUGCCCAAGGCCUGACAGGUUCCAUCACUAGAGACAAACACAUUCCAGGCAAUUAAAUGUUAGCAAUAGUAGUCACCAUCAUCAUUAUUAUAGAUACAUACAUAGGUGUGUUCAAAUGAAAUUUAUGUAAAUAUUGUUUAUAUAAUAAAUAAUGUGGUAUGACCUUCUUUAUGUAAUAUAUUUUGUGAUAUAGAAAUAUGCUAUAUAUAUUUGUAGUAUAAAAUGUAUGCAUAGAUAUAAAUAUAUGUAUAGAUAUGUCUGUAAAUAUUCAUAUAUUUCAUAUACAUAACAACGUAUAUAUAAUAUGUAUUAGUAUGGAAAGACAUAAACCAAAUAUAAAACUAGUUAUUUCUGGGAAGUCCAGAAAUGAUUCCUAGCUUCUCUUUGUGUUUAUCUGUAUUUUUCUAUACCUCUACUUUGUAUUACAUUGCAAUUAUAAAAAAAUGUAUAAAUAAUUAUAUACAAGAAUAUUUAUUCCAGAAUUUUAUAGAAUAGUGAAAUAUUGGAAAUAAUCUAAAUGGCCAACAAUAAAGAUUAGUAUAAAAAGUUGCUGUGUAUUAUGAAGGAAUCCAUAUCAUCAUUAAAAAAUAAUAUUAUUGCCACAGAAGAUAAUCACUGUUAAUUUUAAAGAAUCUAUUAGUAAGCAUAAUAUACAAUAGACCCUAAGUUAACUUUUAAAGGAAAUGCCCUAGGGGUUUUCUCUAGGUAGUUAACAUUAUGCUAUUUUUUGUUUUCCUGUUUGUUUCAUAUAAAUUUUCUAUAAUAAACACAAUUUUUAUAACCUUGGUUUUUUGCAAUAAAGUCAACUGUAGUGGGAAGUCAUGAAAUUUGAGUGUGUCUUUAACUGUCUUACCUUACUUUCCUUUUCCAGCUUUCUGUUUUUACACCUAAAAAAAGAGAGAGAGAGAGAGUUUGAUUAAUUCAUGUAUAAAUUUCUUUCUCAAGUCUCUGAUUCCUCUGAAAUCUUAUCAUCUAAAUAUUUAUUUACUGACAUUUUAAUUUAAAAUAAUAGGAUUUUUUUACUCACUCUCACUUUAAGAAUUAUUCUUUUGCCCAUGGCAAUGUCAAUGUCAUACUCUUUAGAAACAAUUUUGGUUUAUUUCUGCAGUUCAUGUUCUUUGGUGGAAUGAGAGUGCAGAUAGUCGUGCAGCUGGGAGGCAUCAUUCCCAUGAGGAUCCCAGAGUCGUGGCAGCUGGUAAGCUAUUUCACUAGGCAUGGGUUAUUUUUACAAUAAACUUGAUUUGCUCAAUAACUUUAUAUGCCUUCUUAUGAAAUGUUUUUCCAGUUCGGGAAAGUGUCAACUACCUAGUGUCUCAGCAGAAUAUGCUUCUGAUUCCUGCAUCAUUUUCACCAUUGAAAUAGUGUUCUACUGAAACACAAAAGAUUUCAUUAAUUGGUAUAAAAUGUGUCUGCUAAUGGUGUUUAAGUUCUCCCAAGAGAAUUAUUCUCACUUUUAUUUUAAGGAGGUGAUAAAUUAAUUUACUAUGUCCCUUGCAUUUUAUAAAGCUCUCCCUUGUUUGUCACCACCACUUUAGGAAGUAAAAAGUUCAUUUUUCCCAAGGCAUUUCAAUAUCUAUCACACAUUAAAAAUAUCUACCAUUUGGAAAAUAAUGUUAUUCAGUCCUGAGAUUAAAAAUCUUUGAGGACUCUUUGGUUUACAUGCUGAAAUGCCUUCAUUUAUAAUUAAUUGUACUAAUAUUUACUUCAUUUUGCAUUCUACUUAACAAAGAUACUUGCCACUAUUUCAAGAUCUUGAUUUUUCAUUCAUUUCAGAGGAUGUCUUCUGUAUGUUGACAAACCUUUAUUCAAAUACUAAUGUUAUAUUUCCAUGAUUGAAACAAUAGUUUUAAAUUAUUAAUAUACAUUGUCAAACUUUUAAUCGUGUCUGUUUUCCUGAUUUUCCAAAUUUUUGUCAAGUAAAGUUUAUUUUGUAAUAUCAAAUGGUAUUCAUGAGAAUAUUAAACAUAUUUAUUUGCCAUGGAAAAGUACAUUAUCAUUUGUGUCAUCUGUGUUAAUUAUGGUCACACAUUAGCUCUAUUGUCACUGAACUGGAAAAUAAAAUUAUUAGGUCCUGGUAUUUAAAGUCUUUGAAGACUCUUUGGUUUGUAUGCUGAAAUGUCUUCAUUUAUAAUUAAUUUUACAAAUAUUUACUUUAUUUUGGAUCCUACUUAACAUAAGAUGCUUGAGAUAUCUUUGUUUGAAUGUGAUCUUCAUGGAUAUGGAAAUGUUUGACCUAAUAAAAGCCUACCUGUAUAUUCUGAUUA
This 13924-nucleotide long non-coding RNA is filed under the name Marmota monax (woodchuck). Lineage: Eukaryota; Metazoa; Chordata; Mammalia; Rodentia; Sciuridae. The record is from RNAcentral.